UAGGGAAUCUUGCGCAAUGGGCGAAAGCCUGACGCAGCAACGCCGCGUGGGGGAUGAAGGCCCUCGGGUUGUAAACCCCUUUCAGCAGGAACGAAUCUGACGGUACCUGCAGAAGAAGGCCCGGCUAACUACGUGCCAGCAGCCGCGGUAACACGUAGGGGCCAAGCGUUGUCCGGAUUCAUUGGGCGUAAAGAGCUCGUAGGCGGUUCAGUUAGUCGGGUGUGAAAUCUCCGGGCUCAACUCGGAGGGGCCACCCGAUACUGCUGUGACUCGAGUCCGGUAGGGGAGUGGGGAAUUCCUGGUGUAGCGGUGAAAUGCGCAGAUAUCAGGAGGAACACCGGUGGCGAAGGCGCCACUCUGGGCCGGUACUGACGCUGAGGAGCGAAAGCGUGGUGAGCAAACAGG
Molecule: ribosomal RNA, 405 nt
Filed under: bacterium
Lineage: Bacteria
Description: partial 16S ribosomal RNA
Rfam family: Bacterial small subunit ribosomal RNA
Source: RNAcentral